RNAcentral lists this ribosomal RNA (301 nucleotides) under uncultured bacterium. RNAcentral describes it as "partial 16S ribosomal RNA". It matches the Rfam family "Bacterial small subunit ribosomal RNA", at positions 509 to 807 of the family's 1533-position model. The record is from RNAcentral.
CAGCCGCCGCGGUAAUGCGGAGGAUCCAAGCGUUAUCCGGAUUUAUUGGGUUUAAAGGGUGCGUAGGUGGCUUGUUAAGUCAGGGGUGAAAGACGGUAGCUUAACUAUCGCAGUGCCUUUGAUACUGACGAGCUUGAAUGAACUAGAGGUAGGCGGAAUGUGACAAGUAGCGGUGAAAUGCAUAGAUAUGUCACAGAACACCAAUUGCGAAGGCAGCUUACUAUGGUUUUAUUGACACUGAGGCACGAAAGCGUGGGGAUCAAACAGGAUUAGAUACCCCCGUAGUCCCUGUCUCUUAUAC